AAAAAAAAAAAAAACUGUAAAAGAGGAUUUGGUAACAUUGAUCUUCAGGGCAUCCAACUAUAUAAUGGACUAGUAUAGAAAACCCAGAUCGACUCGUACAAAAAUGUGAAUUCAUAAGAGUAGUCUUUUUUUCGAAAAAUUCAAACUAAUGCUUAGCGCGAGAAUAAUGAUUGUCGUUAGGAUUUCUCUUCCCGCUGAAAACAGCUAGUGCCUUGCGAACAGGGGGCUGCAGAGGAGCCUUCUUACUAGUAUGGUUGAGAAAAAUAGUGUCCGGAGUAAAUAUGUUGUCAUCUCCCUUGUUCUUCUUCUUUGUUUUAGGAUAAAGAUACUUCUGCGGAAGCUGGUCCUCGCGUAACACUGGGUUCUUGGUAACAGCACCUCUACCCCCUUGAGGUAAAGGCAGGGAGAACUUUGUCCCUCGCAAGGAUAUACGUGGUCUGCGUGCUGCAAUCACAAUACCAUUUUCGCCAACAGUCACUGCUACCUUGCGUAAAGUGCCCCCAUUUCCACAAUUGGGACAGAAAAUCUUAGUAACAUCUGUUGUCACUUUAUAGCAGGCAUGGCAUUUCAGUACCCACCUGUGCAGCUCACGGAUCUGCAUUCCUCCAGGUGCCACAAGGCGUAAACCCAUUUGAAGAAUAACAUUUUGCAUUGCAUAAUCAGCUGUCACACAGGCCACACUUGAUUCGGACAAAGAUUUUAACAUCCAACUUUGUUCACUGCUGUUAUCAUCCACAAACGAUGUCUCAACGCUCUCAUCCAUCUGGCUGGACAUCUCCGCAUAUUCCGCUCCUACAUCUGCACAGACGAAAUCCUCCCCUUCAUCUUCUUCAAAUUCUUUACCGUCUUGAUUAGCAUCAUUUGAUUCAGGCCCCUCAUUGGAAAUGUUUACAUCUGCGUCAUCUUGAAGAGCUUUAGCAGAAUCUUCUUCAAGCCGCAUCUGAGACAAAAUCGUAGACAAUUUUUCUUCACCUUCUCUUACUUCAGAAACAUUACCAUCCUCGGCAUUAGCCUCAGGAUUUUCUUCAGGGAUUUGGUGCAUAGAGAUAUCAUCGCAUUGACAGUUCUCGAGGUUUUCAUCGACUGUAUUUUCAGUUGCAUCUUGUAAAUCAUCCACUUUAGAUGAUGUUUCAGACAUUUCACGUCUAGCUUUUCGCCUGAGAAAUCUCCUAUGAGUACUUCUGCUCACAGCAGGUAGCCAAUCAUCACCAUGAUCGUCAUAUUGUCCCUGUGAUGCAUCAAUUCCAUCAGCAACCAUCUUCUUACCAUCAAUCUUCACCUCUUUUUUCUGUGGCAAGUACUUUUGAGGUUUACUGAAGCCAUCAUCGAAAUCCAUCUGAUUCUCAGAAUGAGAAUCACCACCAUUCACGACAGAACCAUCUCUACCACUUUGUUGAUCAAGAGGAAUAACAUUCAAGCUCAAAUCUUUCAAGGGAAGAAUUCUAGAGGUAGUGUCUGCUCCUUCAUCAAGUGCAUGUUCUAUUGCUUCCCAUUCUUCCGGAUUAGAGAUGUUAGCGCCCCAUCCAGGCAAGUCCUUCUCCGGCAACCUUUUUACAUUAAUCAUGUGAAUAGCUGGAGGGCAAUCUCGGAGCUGUUGAGUUCCAUGAAAUUGAGCGUGCAAUGUGUAAGUUAAAGCAAUGAGCUUGAGAUCCACAUCAGAAAGUGUGUGCAAAUCACCAGUACUCCUUGCAAAGCUGAUAACUUUUUUAAGAGAAUCAGGGGAAGGCUCCGUGGUAUCAAUAGUGAACGGAAGUAAAUUGAGUGAAUGACGGGAGUUCCGGUCACGAAUCUCCGCAAGCACUUCAGGUACAGUAACAAACCGAUCAGCCGAAUGAUUCAGCUUAUCUCCGCCUUGAAUUAUAGCGUUUGCAUCUACCACAGCCACUGCUAUCCCCUUCGUCGACUUACAGCUCCCUACCAUAACUCCAUUACCUACCUUCGCCGCCGUUUCUGCAGCUACGGCGGCAGUGACGGUGGCCGGAGUAGUAGUAAUUUGCGGUGGUGGCCGUGGCGGCGGUUGUUGCUUCACUAUGUUGCUCCAACAUGGUGGCGGAGGAGGGGGUUGGGUAUCCAUGG
This 2076-nucleotide unclassified non-coding RNA is filed under the name Hevea brasiliensis (rubber tree). The record is from RNAcentral. Lineage: Eukaryota; Viridiplantae; Streptophyta; Magnoliopsida; Malpighiales; Euphorbiaceae.